This 330-nucleotide unclassified non-coding RNA is filed under the name Merismodes fasciculata. RNAcentral's name for it is "partial contains 5.8S ribosomal RNA, internal transcribed spacer 2, and large subunit ribosomal RNA". The record is from RNAcentral. Lineage: Eukaryota; Fungi; Basidiomycota; Agaricomycetes; Agaricales; Niaceae.
CGCACCUUUGCACCUUCUGGUAUUCCGGAAGGUACACCUGUUUGAGUGUCAUUAAAUAAUCAAUCCAUUCAACUUUGCUGUCUGUCUGGAUUGGAUGUGGAGGUUUGCUGGCUGCUCCAUUGUGGUCCGCUCCUUUCAAAUGCAUUAGCUUUGGGACAACUAGCUGUUCUAAUAUUUAUGCCUCCUGGUGUGAUAACUAUCUACGCCGUUGGUUGAAGGAACUUGAUGAAUGUCUUAGCUUCUAAUCGUCCUUUAACUGGGACUAGUCCUUUCAGGGCUAUAAAUGACUAUUGUGACCUCAAAUCAGGUGGGACUACCCGCUGGACUUAA